RNAcentral lists this ribosomal RNA (253 nucleotides) under uncultured bacterium. RNAcentral describes it as "partial 16S ribosomal RNA". It matches the Rfam family "Bacterial small subunit ribosomal RNA", at positions 524 to 776 of the family's 1533-position model. The record is from RNAcentral.
UACGGGGGGGGCAAGCGUUGUUCGGAAUUACUGGGCGUAAAGGGCUCGUAGGUGGCCAACUAAGUCAUACGUGAAAUCCCUCAGCUUAACUGGGGAACUGCGCCUGAUACUGGUUGGCUUGAGUUUGGGAGAGGGACGCGGAAUUCCAGGUGUAGCGGUGAAAUGCGUAGAUAUCUGGAGGAACACCGGUGGCGAAGGCGGCGUCCUGGACCAAUACUGACGCUGAGGUGCGAAAGCGUGGGGAGCAAACAGG